Molecule: ribosomal RNA, 508 nt
Filed under: uncultured bacterium
Lineage: Bacteria
Description: partial 16S ribosomal RNA
Rfam family: Bacterial small subunit ribosomal RNA
Source: RNAcentral
GACGAACGCUGGCGGCGUGCCUAAUACAUGCAAGUCGAACGCUUCUUUCCUCCCGAGUGCUUGCACUCAAUUGGAAAGAGGAGUGGCGGACGGGUGAGUAACACGUGGGUAACCUACCCAUCAGAGGGGGAUAACACUUGGAAACAGGUGCUAAUACCGCAUAACAGUUUAUGCCGCAUGGCAUAAGAGUGAAAGGCGCUUUCGGGUGUCGCUGAUGGAUGGACCCGCGGUUCAUUAGCUAGUUGGUGAGGUAACGGCUCACCAAGGCCACGAUGCAUAGCCGACCUGAGAGGGUGAUCGGCCACACUGGGACUGAGACACGGCCCAGACUCCUACGGGAGGCAGCAGUAGGGAAUCUGCGGCAAUGGACGAAAGUCUGACCGAGCAACGCCGCGUGAGUGAAGAAGGUUUUCGGAUCGUAAAACUCUGUUGUUAGAGAAGAACAAGGACGUUAGUAACUGAACGUCCCCUGACGGUAUCUAACCAGAAAGCCACGGCUAACUACGUG